This is a non-coding RNA of Paramormyrops kingsleyae, 620 nucleotides long. Lineage: Eukaryota; Metazoa; Chordata; Actinopteri; Osteoglossiformes; Mormyridae. The record is from RefSeq and is a predicted model, not a curated record.
UCCACUUGUGAAUGGAAGGUGGAGUCGUGCCGUGUGGCAUUUUAGAGAACAAGCGCAGUGUCAUAGUCAAAGUCAGGUUCCGCCAAAUAGAAAAUGGACACAAAGAGCUUGGUGAAGGUUAUAGAUCGGCGAAUGCGUGGCGUCUUGAAAACUGAAGAUAGGGGUGUUAGAUGACACGGGUCCUGCUUUGUUACUGAACAACAGCUUGUUCUGUGUUCUAUAACCUUUCAAAACCAGCAGUGUGAAAUAGACUGGUUGCGGGGGGGGUACGGACCCUACGGACGUAAGACGGGGAACACCCCAGGAUGGGGCGCCAACCCACGACAGGACACACUCAGUCAGACACUCUAAUGGGCAAUUUUAUAACUCCAAUUAACCUCAGCAUGUUUUUGGACUGUGAGGAGAAACUAGAGUACCCAAAGGGAAACCCCACGACGACAUGAGGAGAACAUGCAAACUCCACACACAGAGCCAUGGUGGAGACUCGAACCCAGGUUCCAGAAGUGUGCGGCGACAGUGCUAACCACUGCACCACUGUGCUGAUCCCUUUUUCCAUAGACAGUAUUUUUCGUUUAAUUAAAUACCUGAUGUAAGGUAUUUAGCUAGUAACCAAAAAACAU